UAGCAUGUCCUUGGUCCAGCAAUCCAAAGU
RNAcentral lists this non-coding RNA (30 nucleotides) under Mus musculus (house mouse). The record is from RNAcentral. Lineage: Eukaryota; Metazoa; Chordata; Mammalia; Rodentia; Muridae.